Molecule: long non-coding RNA, 263 nt
Organism: Anopheles funestus (African malaria mosquito)
Lineage: Eukaryota; Metazoa; Arthropoda; Insecta; Diptera; Culicidae
Exons: 3
Source: RefSeq, a predicted model, not a curated record
UGUUUAAAGAUAUAAACUAAAAACCAAAGUUUAAAUAUGCUAUUGUUUGUAAUGUAGUACUUUCAGCAGAAGGAAUUACACAACAUUGCAACCAGUUACAAUCGUUACGUAUAGAAGAUUCGAGGAAAUGUGACUUAUUUGCUUUCGGCCCAUUUUUGACAAUUAUACGCUCAAAAAUGGUUCCUAAAUAGUAAUAAUCUUCCCAAGAAUAUAAGCACUCAAACCGAAUUGAAAUUGUCAGCUGAGAAUGGCCAUUGGGGUAA